AAUAACAAGGUCUCCGUAGGUGAACCUGCGGAGGGAUCAUUACACAAAUAUGAAGGCGGGCUGGAACCUCUCGGGGUUACAGCCUUGCUGAAUUAUUCACCCUUGUCUUUUGCGUACUUCUUGUUUCCUUGGUGGGUUCGCCCACCACUAGGACAAACAUAAACCUUUUGUAAUUGCAAUCAGCGUCAGUAACAAAUUAAUAAUUACAACUUUCAACAACGGAUCUCUUGGUUCUGGCAUCGAUGAAGAACGCAGCGAAAUGCGAUAAGUAGUGUGAAUUGCAGAAUUCAGUGAAUCAUCGAAUCUUUGAACGCACAUUGCGCCCUUUGGUAUUCCAAAGGGCAUGCCUGUUCGAGCGUCAUUUGUACCCUCAAGCUUUGCUUGGUGUUGGGCGUCUUGUCUCUAGCUUUGCUGGAGACUCGCCUUAAAGUAAUUGGCAGCCGGCCUACUGGUUUCGGAGCGCAGCACAAGUCGCACUCUCUAUCAGCAAAGGUCUAGCAUCCAUUAAGCCUUUUUUCAACUUUGACCUCGAUCAGUAGUCCCACCCC
Molecule: ribosomal RNA, 548 nt
Filed under: Alternaria sp. YLN2
Lineage: Eukaryota; Fungi; Ascomycota; Dothideomycetes; Pleosporales; Pleosporaceae
Description: eukaryotic LSU rRNA
Rfam family: 5.8S ribosomal RNA (bases 208-361)
Source: RNAcentral